GCCGGAAUGGUGGAAUUGGCAGACACGAUACACUCAAAAUGUAUUGUCCGAAAGGGCGUGCGGGUUCAAGUCCCGCUUCCGGCA
Molecule: transfer RNA, 84 nt
Filed under: Stackebrandtia nassauensis DSM 44728
Lineage: Bacteria; Bacillati; Actinomycetota; Actinomycetes; Glycomycetales; Glycomycetaceae
Description: tRNA-Leu (CAA) (tRNA-Leu-CAA-1-1)
Rfam family: tRNA
About the family: Transfer RNA (tRNA) molecules are approximately 80 nucleotides in length.
Source: Rfam by way of RNAcentral